UACGAACCGUGCGAACGUUGUUCGGAAUCACUGGGCGUAAAGCGUGCGCAGGCGGUGAUGUAAGACCGAUGUGAAAUCCCCGGGCUUAACCUGGGAACUGCAUUGGUGACUGCAUUGCUGGAGUAUGGCAGAGGGGGGUGGAAUUCCACGUGUAGCAGUGAAAUGCGUAGAGAUGUGGAGGAACACCGAUGGCGAAGGCAGCCCCCUGGGCCAAUACUGACGCUCAUGCACGAAAGCGUGGGGAGCAAACAGG
RNAcentral lists this ribosomal RNA (253 nucleotides) under uncultured bacterium. RNAcentral describes it as "partial 16S ribosomal RNA". It matches the Rfam family "Bacterial small subunit ribosomal RNA", at positions 524 to 776 of the family's 1533-position model. The record is from RNAcentral.